This 478-nucleotide ribosomal RNA is filed under the name uncultured bacterium. Its description in RNAcentral is "bacterial SSU rRNA". It matches the Rfam family "Bacterial small subunit ribosomal RNA", at positions 28 to 502 of the family's 1533-position model. The record is from RNAcentral.
GAUGAACGCUAGCGGCAGGCCUAAUACAUGCAAGUCGAACGGUAACAUUCUCGCUUGCGAGAGAUGACGAGUGGCGCACGGGUGCGUAACGCGUAUGCAACCUACCCUUAACUGGAGGAUAGCCCGGAGAAAUCCGGAUUAAUACUCCAUAGUAUCACCAGAUGGCAUCUGAAGGUGAUUAAAGAUUUAUUGGUUAAGGAUGGGCAUGCGUGACAUUAGUUAGUUGGUGAGGUAACGGCUCACCAAGACAACGAUGUCUAGGGGUUCUGAGAGGAUGAUCCCCCACACUGGUACUGAGAUACGGACCAGACUCCUNACGGGAGGCAGCAGUAGGGAAUAUUGGUCAAUGGGCGAGAGCCUGAACCAGCCAUGCCGCGUGCAGGAAGACGGCCUUCUGGGUUGUAAACUGCUUUUAUACAGGAACAAAUAGUCCAUGCGUGGAAAGUUGAGUGUACUGUAUGAAUAAGCACCGCUAACU